UUUAAGGGCACCAUAACACUCUUGAUGCGUUAUUUACCAAAUCUUACAACAGCGAGCCGUUUUCUCUAAGCACAACGGGAAUCUAUCAUUGAAGAAUGCUCUCUGUGAUUGGUUUAAAACUCUUUCCAGGGCAGCAUUACACAAACUUUCUGUAAGAGAAACCUAAACUUCUCCACUCUUUAAAAACACUUGCGCCUGCUAGCACUUAGAUAUGCCAAGAGGACUAUUAUUCAUGCUACAUUAAAUUCUUGCAGUUACAUAAAUCACUUUUUUUAAUACUUUUGCAUAAGGAGUUACCUUAAUCUGAACUCUCAAAAAACACAUUCCUUAGCAUUGGGCAAAAUAAAAAUAAGAGGCGUCACAAUGCUAAAAGGCAUGUUAUCAGUUACUGCCAUCAAAAGCCGAGUGAGGAGGAGUUGUGCUGGAACCACUGAGGCAGAGAGGAAGAUGGGGAUUGAUAGGGAUGAGUUGUAAACCAGAGUAGAUAAAGGGACGGGAAACUGAGACAAAAACUUGGAUAGGAGACAUAACAACUCAGAAUGCAAACAAACAGCAGAGAUAUGCCCUCCAUAUAGCGUCUGGUAUUUUACAUCAAAGAGGAAAUGAAAAACAGCAGAUACUAAUUCAGUACAUCCCCGCCUGGAUAAGCUCGAAGACAAAUAUGUUCUUGGUGUGUUGUCCCGUACUCGCUGCACUCGUCCACAUUAGAGUAAUUUAUGGUUGACUUGUGGUGUUUGUGAGACAGAGCAGUUAACGGUUGUGGUUCUGUAGGUUUUAAAGUUUGUGGGUGGGAGAAGAUAACUUAUUGACAGUUAAGGAGCCUGGGCAGAGUGCCAAAGUCCCUCUGCUAUUUUAAGGAUGCUGACUGUGUGAAAGCACGCUUGAUACAGAAUCAAUGACACACUGCCAAAAUCUGAACCUGUGCUCUAUUAGCUGUGUCUGUGUGCACUUGAAUUCAAAGUAGGGUUUUACAGAGAAGCACAUGUGGGAUACGUAUAUUCACCCAGGGCAAAGAGUGCAUGCCUGAUGUUGGGGUAAUUCAGAGCUACUAUUAGCUAGACAUUACAGCUAUGCUAUGAGCUAGCUAUCACAAGAAAACGAUGUGGAGGACUACUUAAAAAUGGACAUGUAAAAAGUAUUAAUUGGGUUAAUGGACAUACACCACUGUUGUUUAUGAGGGAGUCUGGCCCUGUGUGUCUGUGCUCAGUCACGCUCUUAUUUCCUGUGUUUAGAUAUCAGCUUUGAGAGCAGCUCUUAGCAGUACAAGCUGUGUAAUUACUGAAUAUGGAAAAAGAGCCCACUGCUUCACCUCAGACAACAGAGCAACUGAAUAAACUUCUCCGCUUUGGUCCAAUUUGAGAGUAUGUACAAGGAAACCUACUUUUAAAAAAGAUGAACACACCCCUGUGAUCUCCCUUAUGUAAAACAGCAUAUAAACCUGGAUGCAAUCAGGAAAAACUCCAAAAUACUUUGUUCGAUUUAGUUUAUGUGCCCUUGCAUGACACGAGUUCAGAAGUUCAGAAAGGACCCGACAUUAAUGUUGUCAGGAAAUCAUAAAGAAAUAAUGUGACACCAUCUUCAGAGGAAUCCGGCUAUUUAUAGCAUAAAGGUUGGCUUCAGAGACUAUAAAGGAGAUGCAGACCUUUUCAUCUCUAUGAAGCGGUUCAGAGUAUAGAGGGACAGGAUAAGCAAAGAGAGAGAGAGAGACAACGAACCAGACUACUAGCUAAAUAUGCAUUUAUUCAUACAGCAGUACAGAUUAUGUUAUAGGUUAAACUUUAAAGGGUUUCUGCAGCAAGAUGAUAAAGGACCUCUUAUGUUCAGUCUGCCUUCUUGACAAGUCAGCCAUUGGAGCACAUCAAUGUAUUACACUUAGAUAAAACCUGUUUAAAAAGUUCAUUUAAACUUGAAAUGUGUAGGAAAACAUAUGCAACUGUGUUAACUGUACAUACAUGUGUGUCUGCUCCUAUGUUGUCUCGUGUUUCCUUUAGGACUGGAUCCAGGCUGUUGCUAGGUGCUGUGACCUCUGUGAGCAACAUUCAUGGAUACGGAGAGUGAACCCUGCAAGAAGUAGGCCUGUAUUUUAUUUCUGCAACCUCCCCCUACUCCAAACAAACCCCACUCACACUCUGUAUACAGCAAACACUAUAUUAGUUUGGCCUGUGGCUUGGCAUGUUUACUAAUGGUACAUCAGGUAAAUGUUCCACUAUAUACCAACCAGUCUUGUCAGUCAUUUUUGUCAGAAGAAGCAGAAGUGUCUUGAGUUUAAAGUGCCAGGAUACUUCAUGACUUUGAGUUAAAGUAUCAAAUCACUUGCAAACUGGGUCUAAACACUUAAAAAUAGGCCUCCCCUCCAUUAGCUGCAUUGAUUGCUGCCCUCCAGAUGCCCCAACCCCCACCCCUCCUGCAGGCUGUGAGUGGAGUGGGGCCCUGCAUUGAGAGGACAAGCCGUUCUGUAGCCUCGCUGCCAAAGGUACUUUACUGGAGCCCGAGUCCAAGAAACUGAGGGGAGGGGAAGGACACAGUUUGGACACAGUUUGAAUGUCUGGCAAGAUAUCUCAGUGUGUGUGUGUAUAACAGAGCUCAGAAGAAAUGGGCCAGGAGAACUAGUGACCUUAAGAAUUGCUUCAGACCUUAUCCUCCGUUAGAUUGGAUUAGUAUCCUCGUCUUUCUCAAUAUAAGCAGAUAUGUCCAGUUGUUGCUUUUUACACACCAACACAGAAACAUUUCUGUCCAUCCAACAUAACCACCUUCAUAAUUUGUCAUUUGGCAUGACCCUUUUUUUCCUCACUCAUCGUCCCCCCAUCUGCAAAUGUCAUUGGCUGCAGUCAGCAGUUACCAUCAAACAAAGGCGAAGGCACAGCAA
Molecule: non-coding RNA, 2866 nt
Organism: Xyrichtys novacula (pearly razorfish)
Lineage: Eukaryota; Metazoa; Chordata; Actinopteri; Labriformes; Labridae
Source: the annotation of a GenBank genome assembly